RNA transcript from Felis catus (domestic cat), 7615 nucleotides. It is a transcript of the gene named ubiquitin specific peptidase 40, with no coding region annotated. The transcript is spliced from 30 exons. The record is from RefSeq and is a predicted model, not a curated record. Lineage: Eukaryota; Metazoa; Chordata; Mammalia; Carnivora; Felidae.
CUCACGCUCCGGGCCGCGAGACAGCGGCCCACGCAAGCAUGGCUGCGCCCGGUUGGGGCGCGUACGUUUGUUUCGACCGUGGGGCUGGGCCGGCUCGUGGGGCUGGGCUUUAGGCAGAACGGGUUGAAAAGGAAUAUAUUGCAUUUCAGCGCUUCCUGUCCCUUAGCAACUGUGCUAGGCGCUUUGUAUUUCUCAUCUCCAAGUGACCCUCCUCCACUCUCGAGGGUAGUAUUUAGUGUCACGAUGUUUGGGGAUCUGUUUGAAGAAGAUUAUUCCAGUGUGUCAAAUUAUCAGUAUGGAAACGAGAAGAAGUUAAAGACCAAGGUUUUGGAGCCACCGGCUCCUAGAGAAUUCACCAAUUUAAGCGGAAUUAGAAAUCAGGGUGGAACCUGUUACCUCAAUUCCCUUCUUCAGACUCUUCAUUUCACACCCGAAUUCAGAGAAGCCUUAUUUUCCCUUGGCCCAGAAGAGCUUGGUUCAUUUGAGGACAAGGAUAAACCUGACGCAAAGGUUCGAAUCAUCCCUUUACAGUUACAGCGGAUGUUUGCUCAGCUUCUGCUCUUAGACCAGGAUGCAGCGUCCACCACGGACCUCACUGACAGCUUCGGGUGGACCAGCGAUGAGGAAAUGAGGCAGCAUGAUGUGCAAGAACUGAAUCGAAUUCUCUUUAGUGCUUUGGAAACUUCUUUAGUCGGGACCUCCGGCCAUGACCUCAUCAAUCGUCUGUAUCACGGGACCAUUGUUAACCAGGUUGUUUGUAAAGAAUGUAAGAAUGUCAGUGAAAAGCAGGAAGACUUCUUAGAUCUCACAGUAGCAGUCAAAAACGUGUCAGGUUUGGAAGAUGCACUCUGGAACAUGUAUGUAGAAGAGGAAGUUUUUGACUAUGACAACCUGUACCACUGUGGGACUUGUGACAGGCUGGUUAAAGCAGCCAAGUCGGCCAAAUUACGUAAGCUGCCUCCCUUUCUUACUGUUUCGUUGUUAAGAUUUAAUUUUGAUUUUGUGAAGCACGAACGAUACAAGGAAACUAGCUGUUACACGUUCCCUCUCCGGAUCAAUCUCAAGCCUUUUUGUGAACAGAGUGAAUUGGAUGACUUGGAGUAUGUUUAUGACCUCUUUUCAGUUAUUAUCCACCAAGGUGGUUGCUAUGGAGGACAUUAUCACGUGUAUAUUAAAGAUGUCGAUCAUUUGGGAAACUGGCAAUUUCAAGAGGAAAAAAGUAAACCAGAUCUCCAGAAUAAAGAGGAGAUUGACGAUGAUCCAUUGAUAAUUCUAAAAGCAAUCUUACUACAGGAGGAGAGUAAUCUGAUUCCUGUUGAUCAGCUGGGCCAGAAACUCUUGAAAAAGAUAGGAAUAUCUUGGAACAAGAAGUACAGAAAACAGUAUGGACCACUGCGAAAGUUCUUACAGCUUCAUUCUCAGAUAUUUCUGCUCAGUUCAGAUGAAAGUACAGUUAGUCUCUUGAAGAAUGGUUCUCUCCAGGCUGAGUCCGAUUUUCAAAAGAAGGAUCAACACCUUUUCCAGAUGCAUACUUCAGAAUCCCCAGGAUUAAAUGACAGAAACUCCUGUCCCCACUGGUUUGAUAUAAAUGAUUCCAAAGUCCGACCAAUCAAGGAAAAAGAUAUUGAACAGCAGUUUCAGGGUAAAGAAAGUGCCUACAUGUUGUUUUAUCGGAAAUCCCAGUUGCAGAGACCCCCUGAAGCUCGAGCCAAUCCAAGGUACGGGGUUCCAGGUCAUUUGCUGAAUGAAAUGGAUGCGGCCAACAUUGAACUGCAAAGAAAAAGGGCAGAAUGUGAUUCUGCAAACAAUAGUUUUGAAUUGCAUCUGCACCUGGGCCCUCAUUAUCAUUUCUUCAAUGGGGCUCUGCACCCGACAGUCUCUCGAGCAGAAAGCAUGUGGGAUUUCACCUUUGAUAAAAGAAAAACUUUAGGAGAUCUUCGACAGUCAAUACUGCAGCUGUUAGAAUUUUGGGAAGGAGAUCUGGUGCUUAGUGUGGCAAAGCUUGUUCCUGCAGGACUUCACGUUUAUCGGAUGCUGGAUGGAGAUAACCUGACACUGUGUGAAAUGGAAAUUGAGGAUGGGGAAGACAUCUUUGUAUGGAAUGGGGUGGAGGUUGGUGGCAUCCCCAUUCCAACCGGUAGCGACUGUGAGCCUGUGCUCAUAAAUGUUCUUCAUCUCGCAGCAAGCAGCCAGGGGGGAAAGUGUCAGCAGUUGGUAGAGGCCCCACAUGUGUUCCCAUCCAAUGCAGAAGUGCAGGCUGUGCUCGCAGCCUUGGCAAUGCCCGUAGCCGUCCUCUUCGUCAGCACCACCGACUCUGUCGGGGAAGAGAACUGGGUCGCCAUUCCCGAGGAAGAUCUGAAGAAGACGUUCAGAGAACAGGGCCUCGGGAACGGGAGCUCGGUUCUCGUUCAGGAGUCUAAAGAUGAUAAGAGUUUGCUGCUCAGACAAGGGAAAUGGUUCACUGGUGCGAGUGAGACCAGCUGGCUCCAAGUUCAAAAUUUAUGCGAGGUGGAGUCUGAGGAGAAGCAAGUUAAAAUAUCAGCAACUGUGAACACAGUGGUGUAUGAGAUUCGAAUUAAAGCCAUAAAGGAAUUAGAAUUAAUGAAGGAACUAGCUGAGAACAGCUGUUUGAGACCUAUUGGUAGAAACGGGAAGCUUCUCUGUCCAGUGCCAGACAGCUACACCGUGAAGGAAGCGGAACUGAAGAUGGGCAGUUCAUUGGGACUGUGUCCUGGGAGAGCACCAACUCCCUCCCAGCUGUUCCUGUUUUUCACUGUGGGGAGUGAUGUUCAGCCUGGUACAGAGAUGGAGAUCAUCGUAGAAGAAACAAUGUCUGCGAGAGAUUGUUUAAAGCUCAUGCUGGAGAAGUCUGGCCUACCAGGAGACACGUGGCAUUUACGGAAAAUGGAUUGGUGCUAUGAAGCGGGAGAGCCUUUAUGUGAAGAAGACGCAUCCCUGAAAGAACUUAUGAUAUGUUCUGGAGAUACCUUGCUUUUAAUUGAAGGAAAACUUCCUCUUCCGGGUUUCCUGAAGGUGCCCAUCUGGUGGUACCAGCCUGGGGGUCCCUCCGGUCAUUGGAAGAGUCAUCAGGACCAGGUGGACGGUACCCCUUCUCCAAGUGGGGUCUGGACAGCUACUUCCACCCAAGGCGCUCCAGGUGACCUGUAUGCAGAGGCUUCCCUCCGCCACGUGGGGGACCUCGAGAUCUCAGAAGAGGCCACCUUGCUGGAGCUGAAGUCCCAGUCUGUUCUGAUAUGGCAUGUGUUAUAUGCCAUGUUCAGUGGCCAUGACCUUGUCCUCCUCUGAUUUCGUCAUCCCGUCCCCAGCCUUCCUUAGAGCCUGGACCUUGGAAAGUAAGCGCCCCAGCAGGCUUUUACGGACCAACCUGCAGCAACUCAAAACAUUCAAGAUCUGCUCUCCUAGCAACUUUCAAAUAUGGGAUACAGCACUGUGAACAGGAAGAGCUGGGCUGUACGUUAGAGCCUCAGACCUCACUUGUCUUCCUCCCGGACGUUUGGACUCUGUGAUCAGCAUCUCCUCUUUUCCUGCAGCCCUAGAAACCGUCACGUGCUCUCUGUUCCUAGGAGUCCGGCCUUUUCAGAUUCCACAUAUUUGUGAGAUCGUACAGGAUUUAUCUUUCUCUUACUCCACGUUACUCGCAUAAUGUCCUCAAGGUCCAUCCAUGUUGUCACAGACGAUAGGCUGUCCUUCUUUCUCAUGGCCGAAUGAUAGUCUGUCGCUUACACGUAUAGACACCACGUCAUUGUCUGUGAUGGACACUCAGGUGUUUCCAAAUCCUGGCUGUUGUGAAUAAUGCUGCUGUGAAUAGUACCUAUUUGAGAUUUUGUUUUCAUUUCCGUGCAUACCCAGAAGUGCUAGGUCAUAUUGGCAAUUCUAUUUUUAAUUUUUUGAGGAACCUCCAGAAAAUUGGCUUCACCAAUUUACAUUCCCACCAACAGUGCACAGGGCUCCCUUUUCUCCACACCCUCGCCAGCACUUAUCUCGUCUUCCUGAUGCUAGUGGGAGGUGGCAUCUCAGGGUGGUUGCGAUUUGUAUUUCCUUGAUGAGGAGUGAUGUUCACCUUUUCACGUGCCUUUUGGCCACCUGUAGAUCUUCUUCAGGAAAGUGUCUAUUCGGUUCCUCUGCCCAUUUUUUUACUGGACCGUUUCGGAGGUUUCUUGCUUUUGAGCUUUCUGGGUUCUUUCUUAACCCUUUAUCACAUAGAUGAUUUGCAGGUAUUUUCACCCAUUUCAUAGGUUGCUUUUUCAUUGACUGAUGGUUUCCUUUGCUGUGCAAAAGCUUUUUAAUUUGAUGCAGUCAGUCCCACUUAUUUCUGCUUUUCUUGGCUUUUCCUUUUGGUAUCGGUACCAAAUCCAAAAAAGUCAUCGCCAAGGCCAAUGUCAGGGAGCCUACCUCCUGUGUUUUCUUCUAGGAGUUUUGUGGUUUGUGGCCUUUCAUUCAAGUCUUUAAUCCAUUUUGAGUUGCUUUUUUUUUUAAGUUUGUAUUAUUUAAAUACACCAUAUUAGAGCACAUGUCUCUGAAAAUAUCACAAAUAAAAGAUUUUUUUUCUUGUUUCAGCAAAUUAGAAGUAGGGGGAAAUUUCUACACAGUAGCUGCUAUGAGCCUGAUUUUUUUCCAAUUUUUUUUCUUUUUUUUUCUAUUCAUUUUUUUUUUUCUUCUUUGCCAUGGAAGUAGCAACAUUAGGACGAGAACACUUACAUGCAUACAUACGCUGUGUUUUACAGAGACACAAUAAAAGCGUUUGCGAUAGAGUGUUGCAAACGCCACAUCUCUUUCCUUUAUCUCAUGUUCGGUUUUGAUUGAAACACAUUUCCUUACAACGCUUAAAUAUACAAAGAGUAAGUAGAAUGUUGUUAAGGUAAAACACAGGGUACAGACUCUGGCCAGUGCCCUGCUAAUUGUUAAUGAGAGUAGAAAGCAGAUUUGAAUUCUCCUCUUAAUUCUCCUAAUUAGCUUCAUUAGUCAUUUCCCUCCUCCCAUGCUCCCCCCACCCAAGAUGUGCCCCCGUGGAUCUUUUUUUCAUUUUCUCUACAGUCUCUCCAUCAGCCCAGGUUCGUGGGGUGCUUAAUGUUCGUAUUCAGUCAUUUUAAUACACCGGUAAUGCGGGAAGGGCGGUCAGGUCUGACGGAGGUGCGGUGGCGUGGAGCUGGCACUGGGGCUACCAAAGCGACUGUCUACUGAAGACAACGCGGGAUCCACCGUGAUGAACGCGGUCUGAGUUGAAGGCACGCAUCUGGCAUUACUCUGACCUUCCAGCAGCCCGGGUCUGGCAGUAGUGGAUGGCACUGAAGUGAACGUAAAUGGCCACCGAUGAGAGUUGUGGGUCUAUCACGUCCACAAAAUAAGCUGCCACUGAUGUAGUGAAACCGAUCUUCUGGGACCACGUAAGACACUGAGAUGAUGUGCAUCGCCUCGGGCCCAGUUCGCGCGCAGGAAUCGACUGUCCUUAAGCGCUGCAGGCUCCGCUGUUCCCAGAUCACCGACCAUAGUCACUUGUGCACGGGACCACACCGCCCUCGGUGUAACAGGACAGGGCUGAUGUUGCCCCACUGCGCCCGGCCGCAGGGGCACGCGAGGCUCCAGCUGUGCCAGUAGCUGUCCGUGGCACAGAGCAGACAGCGGCCCGCAUCUUGCCCCCCGUGGCCGGCGCACCGCUUCCGGGGGAGCUGCCGCCCGGCUUCACCACGGCCUGCUUUUCCCCUCGAGGUGGUGGCAGAAAGCGAGCGAGGCCGCUUGGCUUCCAAGGAAGAGUUUUUGAGCUGAUUUUUGUGUGCAGCGUAAGAGAGCGAUCAGUUCCAUUCUUUUGCACGUGGCUGUCCGGUUUUCCCAGCACCGUCUGUUGAAGAGACUCUCCUCUCCCCAGUGCGGAGUCUUGGCUCCUUUGUUGUAAACUCAUGGGCCGUGCGUGCAUGGGUUCAUUGCUGAGGUCUCUGUUCUUCUCCAUUGGUCUGUGUCUGUUUUUAUGGCAAAACCAUAUUGUUUUGGUUACUGUAGUUUGAAAUCAGGAAGGGUGAUGUCUCCAGCUUUGUUCUUUCUCAAGAUUGCUUUGGCUCUUUGCGAUCUUUUGCGGUUCCGUACAAAUUUUAGAAUUGGUUUUCUGUUUCGGUGAAAAAUGCCAUUGAAAUUUCGAUAGAGAUUGCAUCGAGUCUAUAGAUAUCUCUGGGUAAUGUGGACAUUUUAACAAUAUUCUUCCAAUUCACAAAUGUGGAAUUUCUCUUCCACUUACUUGUUUCUUCGGAGAGUUUCUGUCAUCAGUGUCUUCAGCAUAUCGAUCUUUUGCCUCCUGGGUUAAAAUCUCUUCCUGCGUAUUUUAUUCUUUUCAAUGCUCGUAAAUGAGACUGUUUUCUUAAUUAGUCUUCCUGAUAGUUCACUGUUAGUGUGUAAAACAUUAAAUGAUUUUUGUAUACUGAUUUUGUAUCCUGAGACUUUACUGAAUUCAUUUAUUUUAAUAGUUCUUUGGUGUUUAGGGUUUCCUAUAUAUAAUAUGUCAUCUGUAACUGGAGACAGUUUUACUUCUUUCUUUUUGAUUUGAAUGCCUUUUCUACUCCGUGUUUCAUUGCUCUCGGAAGGACUUCCAGGACUGUGCUGAACGCGGGCAGCGAGAGCGGGCGUCGUCUUACUCCUGAUGGUAGAAGAAGGGCUUGCAGACUUUACCACUCAGCAUGUUAGCUGUGAGCUUGUCAUAUAUGGCCUUUAUUAUGUCAAGUUGCGUUUUGUCUCUACUCAUUGUGUUGAGAAUAUUUAUCAGGAAAGGAUGUAGAAUUUUGGUCAAAUGCUCUUUCUUCCUCUAUUGAGAUGAUUAGAUAUGUACCCUUAGUUUUGUUACUGUAUCACAUUGAUUGAUUUGCAGAUAUUGAAUCACUCUUACAUCCCUGCAAUAAAUUCUCCUUGAUCAUGGUGUAGGAUUCUUUUAAUGUACUGUUGAAUUUGGUUUGCUAAGUCAGGUUUUGUAUCAGGGUAAGGCUGGCCUCAUAAUAGAAAUUUACAAGUGUUCCCUAUUCUGUUUUUUGAAAGAGCUUGAAGAGGAUUGGUAUUAAUUCUUGAAAUGUUUAUUAGAAUUAACCAGUGUGGGGCGCUUGUGUGGCUCAGUCAGUUAAGCAUCCUACUUUGGCUCAGGUCAUGAUCUUGCAGUUCGUGGGUUUGAGCCCUGUGGUGGGCUCUGUGCUGACAGUGUGGAGCCUACUGUGUCUCCCUCCCUCUCUCUGCUCCUCCCCAACUCAUGCUUGCGCUCUCUCUCUCUCUCUCAAAAAUAAACAUUAAAAAAUAAACACACACACACACACACACCAGUAGAACCAUCUGGUCCUGGACUUUCCUGAUUCAGUUCCCUUGCUAGUAGUUGGUCUGUUCAGAUUUUCUAUUUAGUGCAUACUAAGUCUAGUAUGUUCCAAGACUUACCCAUUGUUUUCCAGCCUGUCCAGUUUGUUGGCAUCCAUUUGUUCAUAGUUGCCUCUCAAAUAUUGAGUGUUCUUAUUUAGUAUAUUCUUUUGCUCAAGAGAAAACUUAGAAUUUUCCCCCCAAAAAUCUAAAAACUUAAAUGUCACUCAAUAGUAUUUUGUUUCAUUUCUUUUAUCAGGGAGUAUAAACUGGGAAG